Molecule: ribosomal RNA, 253 nt
Filed under: uncultured bacterium
Lineage: Bacteria
Description: partial 16S ribosomal RNA
Rfam family: Bacterial small subunit ribosomal RNA
Source: RNAcentral
UACAGAGGUCUCAAGCGUUGUCCGGAUUCAUUGGGCGUAAAGAGCGUGUAGGCGGCCAGGUAGGUCUGCUGUGAAAACUCGAGGCUCAACCUCGAGACGUCGGCGGAAACCAUCUGGCUAGAGUCCGGAAGAGGAGAGUGGAAUUCCUGGUGUAACGGUGAAAUGCGCAGAUAUCAGGAAGAACACCCGUGGCGAAGGCGGCUCUCUGGGACGGUACUGACGCUGAGACGCGAAAGCGUGGAGAGCGAACAGG